AACGUAGGUGGCGAGCGUUAUCCGGAUUUACUGGGCGUAAAGCGUGUGCAGGCGGUCUGGGAAGUCGGGCAUGAAAGCCACCGGCUCAACUGGUGGAAGCUGUCCGAAACUCUCAGACUUGAGUCCCGGAGAGGGUGGUGGAAUUCCGCGUGGAGUGGUGAAAUGCGUAGAGAUGCGGAGGAACACCAGUGGCGAAAGCGGCCACCUGGCCGGGGACUGACGCUGAGACACGAAAGCUAGGGGAGCGAACGGG
Molecule: ribosomal RNA, 253 nt
Filed under: uncultured bacterium
Lineage: Bacteria
Description: partial 16S ribosomal RNA
Rfam family: Bacterial small subunit ribosomal RNA
Source: RNAcentral